This 543-nucleotide long non-coding RNA is filed under the name Prunus dulcis (almond). RNAcentral's name for it is "sRNA ncRNA". The record is from RNAcentral. Lineage: Eukaryota; Viridiplantae; Streptophyta; Magnoliopsida; Rosales; Rosaceae.
UCUAGCUUUACGUAUAAACUACAUGACAAAGGUUCCCCUUACUGAAAAGGUUGCACUAGAUCCAUGACAUCUCUGCACUAUUAAACCCUCUUUUAAUUUGAAUUUCAAUGAUAUUGGGAAAUUAUGAAUUCUCUGUUCGUUCCUAUAUGCGAUUGUAGUUCAUAAUUAAUUUGUGUUAUCUAGUUUCUUUUUUGUAUUUAGCACUUAUUAUUGGAAUUACUUCAGCUUUUGGAAUGUUUUAAUCAUAUAGAGGAUGACGUUGGCAAAGUCUAAAAUGACACAAUGUUGAUAGAAGUGUUAUGCGGGCAAUUGGUCCAAGGAUUUUGAGUUGCAGUUGGUGAGUGAGUAUUCUUGAAAUUACCCACUUGGAAUAUGUGAUGAGGUACGGGAAACGUGGGAAAUUAAUCCCCGUCAUGUCAAGUCGUUAAGGAAGCUACUUGGGAACUCGAGGAGCAUAUGUGGCCUAGUACCCAUACCCCUUAGAUUGUAAUAACCCGAUCUUAAAUUAAUAUAUAAUUAUUCAAUAAAAAGACGAUUUUACCC